GAAGUUCAAUUAGAUUAACAUUCGGAGAGUGUGAAGUUAUGUCUGAUCUAUAAAACAACAGAUAACAUAAAUUAUUUAACCUGUGAUAAAACUAUAAAGUACAAACUCUAUUCAAGACCCUAUUAUUUCAAGUAUCAAUAAGGUGAAUGAAAAGUAUAAAGCUGUACAAUUGUAAAUGGAUAUUUUAGUUUGCCCUCUAUGUCGCUCAGUACUAGAGCUCCAGCAAAUUAACUUGAGCCAAGCUGUAUAUUUAUGUUUGGAUUUGAAAUGUCCUUACCCAAUUGGUCAGAAGUGCAUUGCAGUUGAAAAACCUCUGGAAGAACUAGGAAAUUCUGUACAUUCUAGAUCUUCGAAGAAAAAAACAAAAAAAUUGGAAACUGCGAAAUCUUUAAAUGUACCUCCUGCUAAUGGUGCAAAGACAAAACUACCCACUGAUGACACUUUUAAAUUGAAUGAUUUUCUCUCUGAAGCUUUGGAGAAUUUCGAUUUACCACCAGAUAAUCCUAUGCCCGUUCAUGAAAAUUGUGUAAUAAACUCUCACAAUAAUGAGCUGAUGCUGAAUAAUAAUGGUUAUACUACUAACGAUGAGCAGAUUUAUGAUAACCAACAAAAGCUAAACUAUAAUAGUGAAUAUAUCCAGCCUUAUGUGAAUCAUAAUCAACAAAUGGUGGAUUAUAAUGGCUUUAACAAUGGACAAAGUCAGUUCACUAUAAAUGAUAGCCAGUGUAUGAUGAAUCUUGAAGAAAUAUUUGACGGAUUAAUGUAAAUUGUGAAGAUGCAGAAAAAUUAAAUUAUUUUCCAAC
Long non-coding RNA from Leptinotarsa decemlineata (Colorado potato beetle), 803 nucleotides. RefSeq lists it as uncharacterized. Lineage: Eukaryota; Metazoa; Arthropoda; Insecta; Coleoptera; Chrysomelidae. The record is from RefSeq and is a predicted model, not a curated record.